This 253-nucleotide ribosomal RNA is filed under the name uncultured prokaryote. RNAcentral describes it as "partial 16S ribosomal RNA". It matches the Rfam family "Bacterial small subunit ribosomal RNA", at positions 525 to 777 of the family's 1533-position model. The record is from RNAcentral.
ACGAAGGGUGCAAGCGUUAAUCGGAAUUACUGGGCGUAAAGGGUGCGUAGGCGGUUAGUUAAGUCUGUUGUGAAAUCCCCGGGCUCAACCUGGGAAUGGCAAUGGAUACUGGCAGGCUAGAGUGCGGUAGAGGGUAGUGGAAUUCCCGGUGUAGCAGUGAAAUGCGUAGAGAUCGGGAGGAACACCAGUGGCGAAGGCGACUACCUGGACCAGCACUGACACUGAGGCACGAAAGCGUGGGGAGCAAACAGGA